UACGAGGGGAGCUAGCGUUAUUCGGAAUUACUGGGCGUAAAGCGCACGUAGGCGGCUUUGUAAGUUAGAGGUGAAAGCCCAGAGCUCAACUCUGGAAUUGCCUUUAAGACUGCAUCGCUUGAAUCCAGGAGAGGUGAGUGGAAUUCCGAGUGUAGAGGUGAAAUUCGUAGAUAUUCGGAAGAACACCAGUGGCGAAGGCGGCUCACUGGACUGGUAUUGACGCUGAGGUGCGAAAGCGUGGGGAGCAAACAGGAUUAGAUACCCGUGUAGUCC
Molecule: ribosomal RNA, 273 nt
Filed under: uncultured bacterium
Lineage: Bacteria
Description: partial 16S ribosomal RNA
Rfam family: Bacterial small subunit ribosomal RNA
Source: RNAcentral